CCCUUAGAUGUUCUGGGCCGCACGCGCGCUACACUGAUGCAUUCAACGAGUUUCUUCCUGGUCCGAGAGGAAUGGGUAACCUUUUGAAAGUGCAUCGUGAUAGGGAUAGACUAUUGCAAUUAUUGGUCUUCAACGAGGAAUUCCUAGUAGACGUAGUUCAUCAGACUGCAUCGAUUACGUCCCUGCCCUUUGUACACACCGCCCGUCGCUCCUACCGAUUGAAUGCUCUGGUGAGCCAUUCGGACUUUCAUCAUGCUGGUUUCCAGUUUUGAUGAAGGAAAGUCUUGCGAACCUUAUCAUUUAGAGGAAGGAGAAGUCGUAACA
RNAcentral lists this ribosomal RNA (324 nucleotides) under uncultured eukaryote. RNAcentral's name for it is "partial 18S ribosomal RNA". It matches the Rfam family "Eukaryotic small subunit ribosomal RNA", at positions 1470 to 1796 of the family's 1831-position model. The record is from RNAcentral.